CGCCUGCUCCAACUGAUACCUCAGCAAAUCUAUUUCCCCCUUCACAUCUGUAAGCUCCAAUGCCGAAGCACCAGUAAUGAAACCGAUGGAGCUAGCUAGAUAAUGCCCCACCUGUGCAAAAUUUUAAUAAACAUCAAAAUAUCGUAGGUUGUAGGGGGUUAUAAAGAAGAUGCCCAAGGACUUCCCACCUGGACGAGAGAUCUGAG
This 206-nucleotide long non-coding RNA is filed under the name Elaeis guineensis (African oil palm). Its description in RNAcentral is "long non-coding RNA (EGUI_LNC067408)". Lineage: Eukaryota; Viridiplantae; Streptophyta; Magnoliopsida; Arecales; Arecaceae. The record is from RNAcentral.